AAUGUAAAUGAUGAAUACAAAGCGAACUAUUCUUUCCCCUUUUACUAAAGAAUACCGUGUAUUCGUCAUUUACAGCGGCAUACGCUUAUUUUUGGAAGAGUCUUCCUUAAGAGGACUC
This is a non-coding RNA of Cajanus cajan (pigeon pea), 118 nucleotides long. Lineage: Eukaryota; Viridiplantae; Streptophyta; Magnoliopsida; Fabales; Fabaceae. The record is from Rfam.